RNAcentral lists this ribosomal RNA (990 nucleotides) under Flectonotus pygmaeus (Puerto Cabello treefrog). RNAcentral describes it as "partial 16S ribosomal RNA". It matches the Rfam family "Bacterial large subunit ribosomal RNA", at positions 932 to 2597 of the family's 2925-position model. The record is from RNAcentral. Lineage: Eukaryota; Metazoa; Chordata; Amphibia; Anura; Hemiphractidae.
AGUUCUACCUAAAGAUACUUAAAUACAAUAAAAUAAAUCUGAAAUCUUUAGAGCAAUUCAAGCAGGGAACAGCCUGCCUGAACUGGGACACAACCCCUUCUAAUGGGUAAAUACCCCACACCCCCCCCCCAAGUAGGCCUAAGAGCAGCCACCUUUAAUAAAGCGUCACAGCUAAUAUACCACCCCUCCCUAAUUCCCGCACCAAUAAUCAACCCUUUUUCAACAGUGAGGGACUCUAUACAACUAUAGAACCCUUUAUGUUAAAACUAGUAACAAGAAACUCGUUUCUCUUAAAUGCCCACGUCUAAAAAUUAACACAUUUGAACAAACAGUAAUAACCCCGCAAGAAAAUCUUACUAACCCCUGUGUUAACCUAACUCCAGAGCAUUAAAAGAAAGAUUAAAAGAAAAAGAAGGAACUCGGCAAAUAGUAAUCCCGCCUGUUUACCAAAAACACCGCCUUUUGAAAAUUAUAAAAGGUCAAGCCUGCCCAGUGACUCAGUUUAACGGCCGCGGUAUCCUGACCGUGCGAAGGUAGCGUAAUCACUUGUUCUCUAAAUAAGGACUAGUAUGAAUGGCAUCACGAGAAUUACACUGUCUCCUUUCUCUAAUCAGUGAAACUAAUCUCCUCGUGAAGAAGCGAGGAUAAACUUAUAAGACGAGAAGACCCUGUGGAACUUAAAAUUAAUAGAAGCGAACCUAAACACCGCAAUUACUAUGACUUUUGGGCUGGGGCGACCGCGGAGCAUAAUUAAACCUCCACAUUGAACGGACUAACAACCUAAACAAAAACUACACCUUUAAGUAUCAGCAAACUGACAUCGAUUGACCCGAUAUAUCGAUCAAUGAACCAAGCUACCCCAGGGAUAACAGCGCUAUCCACUUCGAGAGCUCAUAUCGACAAGUGGGCUUACGACCUCGAUGUUGGAUCAGGGAAUCCCGGUGGUGUAGCCGCUACCAAAGGUUCGUUUGUUCAACCGAUUAAAACCCU